This 338-nucleotide ribosomal RNA is filed under the name uncultured soil bacterium. Its description in RNAcentral is "bacterial SSU rRNA". It matches the Rfam family "Bacterial small subunit ribosomal RNA", at positions 26 to 362 of the family's 1533-position model. The record is from RNAcentral.
AGGACGAACGCUGGCGGCGUGCUUAACACAUGCAAGUCGAACGGAAAGGCCCUGCUUUUGUGGGGUGCUCGAGUGGCGAACGGGUGAGUAACACGUGAGUAACCUGCCCUUGACUUUGGGAUAACUUCAGGAAACUGGGGCUAAUACCGGAUAGGAGCUCCUGCUGCAUGGUGGGGGUUGAAAGUUUCGGCGGUUGGGGAUGGACUCGCGGCUUAUCAGCUUGUUGGUGGGGUAGUGGCUUACCAAGGCUUUGACGGGUAGCCGGCCUGAGAGGGUGACCGGGCCACGAUUGGGACUGAGAUACGGCCCAGACUCCUACGGGAGCAGCAGUGGGGAUA